GCUGAGGGGGGCGCCCGCCCCUCACGGCCGGCCCGGCGACGCCGCCAGUGGGCAGGUAACGCGCCGGGCGCUGCCCCCUCCACUUUAACUUUGUUGUGGUUAAUUAUUGAUUUGGGGGACUUGGGGUUGGUUUCUGCCUCUUCCCUGACAGAAGCCCAGGAGCAAGGGAGACACCUCGAGCCCCUGGAAGCGGUUUUAUCCCCUCGCACACCAUGAACCGCCUCAGCCCUUGCUGCGGUUAAAAUAAAAAUCCUCGUUGCGGGCCCCGGCGUUAAGCAGCUUAAAACGUUGUCAAGCCAAGAGGAAAGAAGAGAAAUAUUUCCAGUGAAUAAAAGAGUCUGCGCGCAAAGAGGAGAAAAUGCAGGUUACUGAGCUGGGCCUGUGUGGGUCACAUUUCAGCUGUCCCUUCUCCCUAACGCCUAAAGAGAGAUCAUGCAAAGAUCUAUUUCUUCCCUGCUUGAAGGAAAGCCACAAAUCACCUUUUUAG
Molecule: long non-coding RNA, 487 nt
Filed under: Apteryx owenii (little spotted kiwi)
Lineage: Eukaryota; Metazoa; Chordata; Aves; Apterygiformes; Apterygidae
Description: lncRNA (ENSAOWG00000016277.1)
Source: RNAcentral